AGCAGGUAUAACCAGAAGUGGAAUUGCUGGAUCAUGUGGUUUGGCUUUCCUCCUAUGUCUCUCUGGGUCUCCAAGAAUCCUACGCUGGAGCUCAGAUUGAACUGAGCCCUUGGCUUGUGUGCUGACCUCCUCAGUGGGCUCCCAGGCGACCAUGGAUGUGGGUCUCUUGGUCCUCCCGGAUGUACCGCAGGGUCACCGCAAAACUCUGCCGGGAGCGCGGGUCCGAGGUCCGGCCGUGCGCCGGCAGCGGGAGUUCAUGCCGGAAGAGAAGAAGGACACGGUUUACUGGGAGAAGCGCCGGAAGAACAACGAGGCGGCCAAGAGAUCCCGCGAGAAGCGCCGUCUCAAUGACGCGGCCCUGGAGGGCCG
Odocoileus virginianus texanus is the source of this 369-nucleotide non-coding RNA. The record is from RefSeq and is a predicted model, not a curated record. Lineage: Eukaryota; Metazoa; Chordata; Mammalia; Artiodactyla; Cervidae.